This 616-nucleotide ribosomal RNA is filed under the name uncultured cyanobacterium. RNAcentral's name for it is "bacterial SSU rRNA". It matches the Rfam family "Bacterial small subunit ribosomal RNA", at positions 122 to 770 of the family's 1533-position model. The record is from RNAcentral. Lineage: Bacteria; Bacillati; Cyanobacteriota.
GAAUCUGCCUUCGGGUUGGGGACAACCACUGGAAACGGUGGCUAAUACCCAAUGUGCCGCAACGUGAAAGAUUUAUCGCCCGAAGAUGAGCUCGCGUCUGAUUAGCUAGUUGGUGGGGUAAAGGCUCACCAAGGCAACGAUCAGUAGCUGGUCUGAGAGGAUGACCAGCCACACUGGGACUGAGACACGGCCCAGACUCCUACGGGAGGCAGCAGUGGGGAAUUUUCCGCAAUGGGCGAAAGCCUGACGGAGCAAGACCGCGUGAGGGAGGAAGGCCCUUGGGUUGUAAACCUCUUUUGUCAGGGAAGAACACAAUGACGGUACCUGACGAAUCAGCCUCGGCUAACUCCGUGCCAGCAGCCGCGGUAAUACGGAGGAGGCAAGCGUUAUCCGGAAUUAUUGGGCGUAAAGCGUCCGCAGGUGGCUUAUCAAGUCUGCCGUCAAAGACCGGGGCUUAACCCUGGAAAGGCGGUGGAAACUGACAAGCUAGAGUGCCGUAGGGGUAGAGGGAAUUCCCGGUGUAGCGGUGGAAUGCGUAGAGCUCGGGAAGAACAUCGGUGGCGAAAGCGCUCUACUGGACGGCAACUGACACUCAGGGACGAAAGCUAGGGGAGCG